AGUUCUGGAAUGUCUUCCUUUUUCUUCCUGAGAGCUGCCCGGAGAGGUGUAAGGAUGCCUGGGGUGUCUGUGUCGUAGGAUGGACAGAGGUAGGGUAGAUAUCUCUAGUCCCUGAAGACCUCUUGGUGGUCUUGGAAGUGGACAUACUUUGGAAGUGAGUUGACGAUAUGAGACAUAUUAAAGCCAGACUAAGUGCAGCUGAUCUAAACAUUGUUUGCACCAAAACAGUGAAAAGUGAAUUGUCAUAAGCUAACAAUAACGAUCUUGACUGUGCAUGUCAUCUGUAAUAUCAUGUUAUCAUGCUGUUUUGUACCCCUUUAUGAUGAAGGGUUCAGGUGUAGUGUUACCAAUGCACUUCAUAUGUCUAUAUGAAAUAUAUGACCAAACGAUGAACAAAUACACAUGCACAUGGUGUCAUUUUCCAAUAGGGUGGAAGAGUUUGGUGAGUGUCCCCAAACUCGUUGGGGAGUACAUGAACAAGAAACUUAAGCUGGAUGUGUUUGUGACCCACACUGACCCUGGAUCAGAUCAAUGAGGCUUUGGACCUCCUGAACGGUGGGAAGAGGACCUUAAGUGAGCAGUUUAUGCUCGAAAACCCACAACUGUCGUUGAAGCAGUUCUGCAUGGAAGAGUGUGCCGAAAUUCCUCCACAGCGAUGUGAGAGACUGAUCAACAACUACAGGAAGCGUUUGGUUGCAGUCAUUGCAGCUAAAGGUGGCACAACCAGUUACUGAGUAUAAGGGGGCAAUUACUUUUUCACACAGGAGCAUUGGGUGUUGCAUAACUUUGUUUAUUAAAUAAAUGAAUGAAGUAUCAAUCUCUUUAUUAUUUGUUCACUCAGGUUCCCUUGACCUAAUAUUAGGUGUCCAAAAUAUGCAAAAAUAGAGAAUCAGAAAGGGGGCAAAUACUUUUUCACAGCACUACUUAACAUUGGAUAAUUACAUCACAGCUUUAGAGUUGGAGUUGUAGAGUAGGAUUACAUACAAAUAGUUCAAGCUCAUAUGAUGUCUUUGUGUCGUUGUCCCUUAAUUGUUAGCUAAAGUAUGUUUAUAGUUUGUAAGUGUCUCAAAUAAAUGCUCUUUAGCUCA
Long non-coding RNA from Oncorhynchus nerka (sockeye salmon), 1088 nucleotides. RefSeq lists it as uncharacterized. The record is from RefSeq and is a predicted model, not a curated record. Lineage: Eukaryota; Metazoa; Chordata; Actinopteri; Salmoniformes; Salmonidae. The transcript is spliced from 2 exons.